This 511-nucleotide ribosomal RNA is filed under the name uncultured bacterium. RNAcentral's name for it is "partial 16S ribosomal RNA". It matches the Rfam family "Bacterial small subunit ribosomal RNA", at positions 355 to 874 of the family's 1533-position model. The record is from RNAcentral.
UGGGGAAUAUUGCACAAUGGGCGCAAGCCUGAUGCAGCAACGCCGCGUGAGGGACGACGGCCUUCGGGUUGUAAACCUCUUUUAGUAGGGAAGAAGCGAAAGUGACGGUACCUGCAGAAAAAGCACCGGCUAACUACGUGCCAGCAGCCGCGGUAAUACGUAGGGUGCGAGCGUUGUCCGGAAUUAUUGGGCGUAAAGAGCUCGUAGGCGGUCUGUCGCGUCUGCUGUGAAAACCCGAGGCUCAACCUCGGGCCUGCAGUGGGUACGGGCAGACUAGAGUGCGGUAGGGGAGAAUGGAAUUCCUGGUGUAGCGGUGGAAUGCGCAGAUAUCAGGAGGAACACCGAUGGCGAAGGCAGUUCUCUGGGCCGUAACUGACGCUGAGGAGCGAAAGCGUGGGGAGCGAACAGGAUUAGAUACCCUGGUAGUCCACGCCGUAAAACGUUGGGCGCUAGAUGUGGGGCACCAUUCCACGGUUUCCGUGUCGCAGCUAACGCAUUAAGCGCCCCGCCU